UACAGAGGUCCCAAGCGUUGUUCGGAUUCACUGGGCGUAAAGGGUGCGUAGGCGGUCGGGUAAGUCUGAUGUGAAAGCUCGCGGCUUAACCGCGAAAUGGCAUCGGAUACUAUCUGGCUGGAGGAGUGGAGGGGAGACUGGAAUUCUCGGUGUAGCAGUGAAAUGCGUAGAUAUCGAGAGGAACACCUGUGGCGAAGGCGAGUCUCUGGACACUUCCUGACGCUGAGGCACGAAAGCCAGGGGAGCAAACGGG
Molecule: ribosomal RNA, 253 nt
Filed under: uncultured bacterium
Lineage: Bacteria
Description: partial 16S ribosomal RNA
Rfam family: Bacterial small subunit ribosomal RNA
Source: RNAcentral